Molecule: ribosomal RNA, 1343 nt
Filed under: uncultured bacterium
Lineage: Bacteria
Description: 16S ribosomal RNA
Rfam family: Bacterial small subunit ribosomal RNA
Source: RNAcentral
GACGAACGCUGGCGGCGUGCUUAACACAUGCAAGUCGAACGGAAAGGCCCUGCUUUUGUGGGGUGCUCGAGUGGCGAACGGGUGAGUAACACGUGAGUAACCUGCCCUUGACUUUGGGAUAACUUCAGGAAACUGGGGCUAAUACCGGAUAGGAGCUCCUGCUGCAUGGUGGGGGUUGGAAAGUUUCGGCGGUUGGGGAUGGACUCGCGGCUUAUCAGCUUGUUGGUGGGGUAGUGGCUUACCAAGGCUUUGACGGGUAGCCGGCCUGAGAGGGUGACCGGCCACAUUGGGACUGAGAUACGGCCCAGACUCCUACGGGAGGCAGCAGUGGGGAAUAUUGCACAAUGGGCGGAAGCCUGAUGCAGCAACGCCGCGUGCGGGAUGACGGCCUUCGGGUUGUAAGCCGCUUUCGCCUGUGACGAAGCGUGAGUGACGGUAAUGGGUAAAGAAGCACCGGCUAACUACGUGCCAGCAGCCGCGGUGAUACGUAGGGUGCGAGCGUUGUCCGGAUUUAUUGGGCGUAAAGGGCUCGUAGGUGGUUGAUCGCGUCGGAAGUGUAGUCUUGGGGCUUAACCCUGAGCGUGCUUUCGAUACGGGUUGACUUGAGGAAGGUAGGGGAGAAUGGAAUUCCUGGUGGAGCGGUGGAAUGCGCAGAUAUCAGGAGGAACACCAGUGGCGAAGGCGGUUCUCUGGGCCUUUCCUGACGCUGAGGAGCGAAAGCGUGGGGAGCGAACAGGCUUAGAUACCCUGGUAGUCCACGCUGUAAACGGUGGGUACUAGGUGUGGGGUCCAUUCCACGGGUUCCGUGCCGUAGCUAACGCUUUAAGUACCCCGCCUGGGGAGUACGGCCGCAAGGCUAAAACUCAAAGGAAUUGACGGGGCCCCGCACAAGCGGCGGAGCAUGCGGAUUAAUUCGAUGCAACGCGUAGAACCUUACCUGGGUUUGACAUGGAUCGGGAGUGCUCAGAGAUGGGUGUGCCUCUUUUGGGGUCGGUUCACAGGUGGUGCAUGGCUGUCGUCAGCUCGUGUCGUGAGAUGUUGGGUUAAGUCCCGCAACGAGCGCAACCCUUGUUCACUGUUGCCAGCACGUUAUGGUGGGGACUCAGUGGAGACCGCCGGGGUCAACUCGGAGGAAGGUGGGGAUGACGUCAAGUCAUCAUGCCCCUUAUGUCCAGGGCUUCACGCAUGCUACAAUGGCUGGUACAGAGAGUGGCGAGCCUGUGAGGGUGAGCGAAUCUCGGAAAGCCGGUCUCAGUUCGGAUUGGGGUCUGCAACUCGACCUCAUGAAGUCGGAGUCGCUAGUAAUCGCAGAUCAGCAACGCUGCGGUGAAUACGUUCCCGGG